UGAAUACGAGAUGCUACGGCAUUGAAGCAGUCUAUGUCAGACUUCCAAGAAAAGCUCGCAAUGUCAGAAACAAUCAAUGCCUGUACCAUAACCGACACAGGUGGGUAGGUAGAGUAUACUAAGGGGCGCGAGAUAACUCUCUCUAAGGAACUCGGCAAAAUGACUCCGUAACUUCGGGAGAAGGAGUGCCUUAUUUAUAAGGUUGCAAUAACAAGAUCCAAGCAACUGUUUACCAAAAACACAGGUCUCCGCUAAGUCGUAAGACGAUGUAUGGGGGCUGACGCCUGCCCAGUGCCAGAAGGUUAAAGAAGUUGGUUAGCCUAGCGAAGCUGAUGACUGAAGCCCUGGUGAACGGCGGCCGUAACAAUAACGGUCCUAAGGUAGCGAAAUUCCUUGUCGGGUAAGUUCCGACCCGCACGAAAGGCGUAAUGAUUUGGAUACUGUCUCGGAGAGGGGCUCGGUGAAAUAGACUUGUCUGUGAAGAUGCGGACUACCUGCACCUGGACAGAAAGACCCUAUGAAGCUUUACUGUAACUUGAGAUUGAAAUUGGACUUCAUUUGCGCAGUAUAGGUGGGAGACGUUGAGAAUAUUCUUGCGGGAAUAUUGGAGUCAUCAGUGAGAUACCACUCUUGUAAUGUUAGAUUUCUAACUUUGUAUCAUUAUCUGGUCAAAGGACAGUUUCAGGCGGGCAGUUUGACUGGGGCGGUCGCCUCCCAAACGGUAACGGAGGCGCACAAAGGUUUCCUCUGAACGUGUAGAAAUCGUAUCUAGAGUGUAAAGGCAUAAGGAAGCUUGACUGUGAGACCUACAAGUCGAGCAGGGACGAAAGUCGGUCUUAGUGAUCUGACGGUGCUGAGUGGAAAGGCCGUCACUCAACGGAUAAAAGUUACUCUAAGGAUAACAGGCUGAUCUCCCCCAAGAGUUCACAUCGACGGGGAGGUUUGGCACCUCGAUGUCGGCUCAUCGCAUCCUGGGGCGGUAGUACGUCCCAAGGGUUGGGCUGUUCGCCCAUGAAAGCGGUACGCGAGCUGGGUUCAGAACGUCGUGAGACAGUUCGGUCCAUAUCCGGUGUAGGCGUUAGAAUAUUGAGAGGAGCCUUCUUUAGUACGAGAGGACCGAGAAGGACAUACCUCUGGUGUACCAGUUAUCGUGCCAACGGUAAACGCUGGGUAGCUAUGUAUGGAGUGGAUAACCGCUGAAAGCAUCUAAGUGGGAAGCCCACCUCAAGAUAAG
RNAcentral lists this ribosomal RNA (1234 nucleotides) under metagenome. RNAcentral describes it as "bacterial LSU rRNA". It matches the Rfam family "Bacterial large subunit ribosomal RNA", at positions 1564 to 2808 of the family's 2925-position model. The record is from RNAcentral.